RNAcentral lists this ribosomal RNA (497 nucleotides) under uncultured bacterium. RNAcentral describes it as "partial 16S ribosomal RNA". It matches the Rfam family "Bacterial small subunit ribosomal RNA", at positions 28 to 507 of the family's 1533-position model. The record is from RNAcentral.
GAUGAACGCUGGCGGCGUGCCUAAUACAUGCAAGUCGAGCGAACAGACGAGGAGCUUGCUCCUCUGACGUUAGCGGCGGACGGGUGAGUAACACGUGGAUAACCUACCUAUAAGACUGGGAUAACUUCGGGAAACCGGAGCUAAUACCGGAUAACAUGUUGAACCGCAUGGUUCAACAGUGAAAGACGGUCUUGCUGUCACUUAUAGAUGGAUCCGCGCCGGAUUAGCUAGUUGGUAAGGUAACGGCUUACCAAGGCAACGAUGCGUAGCCGACCUGAGAGGGUGAUCGGCCACACUGGAACUGAGACACGGUCCAGACUCCUACGGGAGGCAGCAGUAGGGAAUCUUCCGCAAUGGGCGAAAGCCUGACGGAGCAACGCCGCGUGAGUGAAGAAGGUCUUCGGAUCGUAAAACUCUGUUAUUAGGGAAGAACAAAUGUGUAAGUAACUAUGCACGUCUUGACGGUACCUAAUCAGAAAGCCACGGCUAACUACGUG